GCCAGUGGUAGCUCAGUGGUUAAGACCUUAGCCUCCUGCUUAGAAGAUCAUGAGUUCAAAUCCCAGCAUUGUCA
Non-coding RNA from Pangasius djambal, 74 nucleotides. Lineage: Eukaryota; Metazoa; Chordata; Actinopteri; Siluriformes; Pangasiidae. The record is from the annotation of a GenBank genome assembly.